Small nucleolar RNA from Nannospalax galili (Upper Galilee mountains blind mole rat), 205 nucleotides. Its record names the gene U3. It matches the Rfam family "Small nucleolar RNA U3". From Rfam's summary of the family: Small nucleolar RNAs (snoRNAs) are involved in the processing and modification of rRNA in the nucleolus. The record is from Ensembl. Lineage: Eukaryota; Metazoa; Chordata; Mammalia; Rodentia; Spalacidae.
AAGACUAGACUUUCAGGGAUCAUUGCUAUAGUUUGUUACUAGAGAAGUUUCUCUGACUGUUUAGAGUACCAGAAGCCACGAGGAGGAGAUGGAACAUUCUCCCCUGAGUGUGAAGCCAGCUCUUGAUGUUGCUUCUCUGCAACUGCCAUUUGUCACUGAUCAUUCUCUCUUUGAGGAGAGUGGUGGGAGAGGAUGCAGUCUGAGC